UCCGGCUUAUCACCGGCAGUCCCUCUAGAGUUCCCGACAUGACUCGCUGGCAACAGACAAUGAGGGUUGCGCUCGUUGCGGGACUUAACCCAACAUCUCACGACACGAGCUGACGACAGCCAUGCACCACCUGUGCACCACCCUCGAAGGCGACUGCUUUUCGGCAGCUUGCAGGUGCAUGUCAAGCCCUGGUAAGGUUCUUCGCGUUGCAUCGAAUUAAGCCACAUGCUCCACCGCUUGUGCGGGCCCCCGUCAAUUCCUUUGAGUUUCAGUCUUGCGACCGUACUCCCCAGGCGGCGAACUUAACGCGUUAGCUUCGAUACUGCGUGCCAAAUUGCACCCAACAUCCAGUUCGCAUCGUUUAGGGCGUGGACUAC
RNAcentral lists this unclassified non-coding RNA (377 nucleotides) under uncultured Gammaproteobacteria bacterium. Its description in RNAcentral is "contains 16S-23S intergenic spacer region". The record is from RNAcentral. Lineage: Bacteria; Pseudomonadati; Pseudomonadota; Gammaproteobacteria.